This 452-nucleotide ribosomal RNA is filed under the name uncultured bacterium. RNAcentral describes it as "partial 16S ribosomal RNA". It matches the Rfam family "Bacterial small subunit ribosomal RNA", at positions 28 to 507 of the family's 1533-position model. The record is from RNAcentral.
GAUGAACGCUGGCGGCGUGCCUAACACAUGCAAGUCGAGCGAUUGACUUCGAUAAAUAGCUGCGGACUGGUAGGGAAGGCCGGGUGAAUAUGCCCUGGACACACGAAUAACAUACCGAAAGUUAUUCUAAGACAAGAUAAUAUGCUUCUAUCGAAUUUUAGAAGUAUCAAAGCUUUUACGGUACAGGAUGGAUGCGCUUCUGAUUAGCUAGUUGGUGAGUUAACGACACACCAAGGGGACGAUCAGUAGCCGAGCUGAGAGGUUGAUCGGCCACAUGGGAACUGAGACACAGUCCAAACUCCUACGGGAGGCAGCAGUGGGGAAUAUUGCACAAUGGGCGAAAGCAUGAUGCAGCACCGACGGGUGAGCGAUGAAGGCCUUCGGGUAGUAAAGCUCUGUUAUCAGGGAAGAUAAUGACGGUACCUGAGGAGAAAGCCCCGGCUAACUACGUG